ACCCAGAUUGAUUCAACACAAUGUGACUCAAUCAAUCAACCCUUGAACAGCGCUUUAAAAAAGUACAUCCAUUCUUUUAUACGUUUAAUUCAAUGAUAUACAGCCAUUGAUUCUUUAAGAAUAUCACUUAGAAAUGAGCUUAGUUCAACUGUCGUACCCCAUCCCUCAACAGUUUACCAAAAAAAAAGUGGCGGAGUAUCUUUGUUGUUAUUUGAAUCCCAGAUUGCCCCUUAAAAAUGAGCUCCUGGGAUGGUGGCGGGUGAACUGAACAGAGAGACGGUCCAGAGCAUGGGUACACAGAAAGCACUGCUUUAUUGACUACACUGGUCAACCACACCAUAGUGCCGGGGAGAGGAGGGGGGUCAUAGUGGAGGGACCAUGUCAGAGUCUGCUUUGAUCGGAGAGAUCACGGACUCAUCAAAAUGACGCAUGUGACCAUUAGGAGAUACGGGACAGAAAUAUUGGCUGCGUUUACAGGCAGCCCGAUUCAGAUUUUUUCUCUCUCACUAAUUGGUCUUUUGACCAAUCAGACCAGCUCUGAAAAAAGAUCUGAUGUGAUUGGUCAAAAGACCAAAUAGUGCCGGUGUAAGUCAACGUCAGAAAAAGGCACGCCAUUUCCUACAUAGUGCACUACUUUUGACCACAGCCCUAUGGGGGCCUGGUCAAAAGAAGUGCCCUAUAUAGGGAAGUGGGUGCCGUUUGUAAUGUAGCCUGAAUUUGGAAGCAGCAAAGUGAUGCCAGAUCAACUACAAAAAACAAGAGAGCUUGGCUCUGUUGCAGAGACACAACCGGUAAAUUAGCCCGACCUUAGGAGGAGCAGCUAUGGUUAUGGAUAAACCUUCUCUCCUGGAAAUGGAUUCAUACGUGUAUUCAUACAAGUCACGGAACAAAAGUAGCAAACAAACAUGGGAGCAAGUUGUUUGAACUGUGGAACUAAAACAUUUUGAAAUGCUAUUGAAUUUAAUGAGAGGAACACAUUCUGUGACCCUGCUGGUCAUAAAUAGCUUGAGGACAUCCUAAAUGGCACCCUUUUUCCUUCAUAGUGCACUACCUUUGACCAGGGCCAUAUGUACUAUAAUAGGGAAUAGGAUGCCAUUUGAGAUGUAGACGCUGUGUUGCCAGAGAGCAGCGGUUAGUUUCUGUGAGUGUUCUCCAUGGAGGAAGUGAGAGAACAAAAGGUCUCUCCCAGGCUUCAGCUGCACGCUGAUCAGCCCACUGGGGAGCCGGCCUGACCAUUUUAACUUCAAUUAGCCCAGAAACACACACAAAUGCUUGCACACACAGAUACACACUCGUGACUCGACAGACACAGACAAACAUGCACGCACACACAAGCAUUGACUCGGACAGACACUAAAACAAACACGCUCACUACUGGCUAUGCAGUUCCCACUUAUCAAAUCAAUUUCUCUCUGGUUCUGCAUAUAAAACAAAACCAGAGAAAGUAAAUAAUCCUAGCUCCAGUGAAAACAGAGAAGUGUUUGCACUUUACGUUUGUGAGCCACACAGAGGGAGGGACAGAGAGAGGGAGACAGAGAGGGAGGGAAGACAGAGAGAGGGGAAGACAGAGAGAGGGGAAGACAGAGAGAGGGGAAGACAGAGAGAGGGGAAGACAGAGAGAGGGGAAGACAGAGAGAGGGGAAGAGACAGAGAGAGAGGGGAAGAGACAGAGAGAGAGGGGGAGAGACAGAGAGAGAGGGGGAGAGACAGAGAGAGAGGGGGAGAGACAGAGAGAGAGGGGGAGAGACAGGGAGAGACAGGGAGAGACAGAGAGAGAGGGGGAGAGACAGAGAGAGAGGGGGAGAGACAGAGAGAGAGAGAGAGGGGGAGAGAGACAGAGAGAGACAGAGAGAGACAGAGAGGGGGAGAGAGACAGAGAGGGAGGGACAGAGAGAGAGGGAGUGGGGUGUUUAGAUUCCUGCCUGUUAAGUUCACCGUGGACAGGGCGCAAACACUAAGAGGAAAGAACAAACUGUCCUCUCUCUCUCACUCUCCCUCCCUCCCUCCACCAGUGUUUCCCUCUCUCCCUCUCGAUCUUUCGCUCUUCUGCCCAGAGCGGCAGCAGUGACAAACGCUCUCUCCAUUACACAACACACGCACGUCAUUAUUUGUCCUUAAAGCUUCUUCCUUUGACCCGCCUGUGCUUCAAAACUCUGAAGGAGCUGAGGCGGGCCGUCGGAAACACUGAAGAAGGGGAGGGAAGUGAGACAGAGCACUGGUCUGCGGGGUGGGUGUUGGAUUGGAACCAUACUUCCCAGUGUGGAAGCAGUCAGUCGACGGUCGGAGAAGCGCUAGUAAGGAAGCAGUCGGUCUGAUUAUGAGUCAGCAUUCUAGUUAUAUGAGCCGCGGCUGAAGCGUUACAAAAACAGCUUGCGAAGGCUUUUAACACGGAAACAAAAAGGUCUCUAGUACAGUAUUCUACAUUAUUGUUGGUGCAUUAAAAAAAAAACACAAAAAAACAUAAGUAAACGGCAGUCAAACUACUACAGCCUUGAACCAGUUCCCUAAGGGAUAAAGUUGAACCAGUUCCCUAAGGGAUAAAGUUGAACCAGUUCCCUAAGGGAUAAAGUUGAACCAGUUCCCU
Molecule: long non-coding RNA, 2584 nt
Filed under: Salmo salar (Atlantic salmon)
Lineage: Eukaryota; Metazoa; Chordata; Actinopteri; Salmoniformes; Salmonidae
Description: lncRNA (ENSSSAG00000102816.1)
Source: RNAcentral